CAGUAUUAAUAAAGGAGAGAAGGUUAGCACUCCCCUGACAAGAGGCUCCUCAGGCCUGACAAUAUGCAUGUGGUUAAGGCAUUGCCAUCUAUUUCAUGGCAUCCAAUCAUCAUUUUUU
Small nuclear RNA from Ailuropoda melanoleuca (giant panda), 118 nucleotides. Lineage: Eukaryota; Metazoa; Chordata; Mammalia; Carnivora; Ursidae. The record is from Ensembl.